Molecule: ribosomal RNA, 500 nt
Filed under: uncultured bacterium
Lineage: Bacteria
Description: partial 16S ribosomal RNA
Rfam family: Bacterial small subunit ribosomal RNA
Source: RNAcentral
AUUGAACGCUGGCGGCAUGCCUUACACAUGCAAGUCGAACGGCAGCACGGGAGCAAUCCUGGUGGCGAGUGGCGAACGGGUGAGUAAUGUAUCGGAACGUACCUUUCAGUGGGGGAUAACGUAGCGAAAGUUACGCUAAUACCGCAUAUUCUGUGAGCAGGAAAGCAGGGGAUCGCAAGACCUUGCGCUGAUUGAGCGGCCGAUAUCAGAUUAGCUAGUUGGUGAGGUAAAGGCUCACCAAGGCGACGAUCUGUAGCGGGUCUGAGAGGAUGAUCCGCCACACUGGAACUGAGACACGGUCCAGACUCCUACGGGAGGCAGCAGUGGGGAAUUUUGGACAAUGGGCGCAAGCCUGAUCCAGCCAUGCCGCGUGAGUGAAGAAGGCCUUCGGGUUGUAAAGCUCUUUCGGCCGGGAAGAAAUCGUGUGGGUUAAUACCCUGCAUGGAUGACGGUACCGGAAUAAGAAGCACCGGCUAACUACGUGCCAGCAGCCGCAGUAA